GAUCUGGACUUUGGCACUAAACGAUCGGUACGCUUUAAGCUGUAGUGACCGCGAUACAAACAGGCUUUAUGUAUUUAAGUAUUAUUCAGUCGUCAAAGUAAGGCUAUAAACAGGCUUAAUAGUUCGGUUUGUUGAAUAAUAUAAUAUGUUUGACACACCCGGUUUUUGAGUACACCAGAAUUUCAGUUGGAUUUUUACCAGGUCUGAUAAGAUAUCUUUUGGAGAAAAAAAAUAGUGCAUAAGCUAUAACAAGUAAUGCCAAGAAAGGGAUGUUUGCGUCCGACAUGUUGCACAGCAAUGACAGAAUGAGCUGAGGGCUUCGUCUGAGCGGCAGGAGAAACAUUUAUUGUCGAGAAUUAGCAGCGGAUAAGUGGCAUCGUAUGGUACCGCCCUGCCGCUCACGUCUGUCUUGAGUGUUCCCCUUAUGUACAACACAUUAAACUUUUAAGUCACUGCUCGAUCCAGCGCUCACAUCCCACCGCUUACCACUCGUAUCACAGCAGAGACCUCGGUUGAAUGAUUGGCUCCUCGCACUUGUUCCGAUUGGUCAUAAUAUUACAUAGGUUAAAAACCAAGAAAGUGAUGUUAUGUUUUGAUAUCACGGUCACAUCCAAACCUUCGUUUACAUUGGCAAAAAUUUGCAAUUUUUGUGUACGACUAAAAAUCGUGUCUCAACGGGUGCAAGAGCUCUUGCAAACGUUGCCAAAAAACCAGUGUAAGACAAUUGUUUGCAAGAACUGGAGAUCAGUCUCGACUAUUAAAAUUUCAUUUAUAAGCAUUGCCGAGACAUCACUGCCAUGUGCAAACAGACUUCGUAUUGACUCUCGGAACAACAGGCGAUACAACUGUAGCAAGUUGUACAAGGACUUGCGACAGUUCUCAGUUGACAGCUCAGUUAAGUAAAAUUGUUUAUCUUGUUCACAUUAUGCGACAGUAGUUGUGCAAAUACUCUCGCAACUUUACUUGCCAGUGUAAACGCAGCUUAUAUUGUCACCAGUGUACAAACAGCAGACUGCCAGCCGACCGAAUCAAACACGUACGUCAGUUUCGUCGUCAGAAUGGGAUUAGUUGGACGAUGGCUGGAAAUCCUGUAAUUUCUCCGAUUAACUAUUAACCUGAACGACUUUUCCGCACACGUGACGAUCGGUCGGACGAUUCUAAAUGUUCAAACCAAAUAGACUAACAUGUAUAAGGAGCUUUAUGUCAUGUUGUUUAUUAGUCCAUGACUAUAAUCUAACAAAAACAUGAUGAACCACAGCCUUUCGUGCGUUUAUUUACUUUGUAGUGAUGAGGUGAUUCAUUAUAUUAAAGGCUGACACAAAAUAUUUAGGAGCCAGUAAUUGAUAACAUCAAUUGUGCUCGUAUUCUGGGUGCAAUGUAGAAGGUACUGUUCUGUACUGCUGUCUAUGUACUUUUUCUACAGAUCGCAAACUAACAGCACUUAGGUAACUUCCGUAGCAGAUAACUUUCUGAUGCGUUCUUCAUGUAUUGGCCAUCAGUGGGAAUUAUUUUGAGAGCCACGAUACUUUUGCGGGACUCUAACCAGGGGUACGAUGAGAAUCUGGAAAUGCGUGCAUUACGCAUGAAUUUCGAACUCCGGGGGGUAAAUGGCGGUGAAUUUUUAUAGUGUCCCUGAAAUUUUUAGUAAGGAUGGAUCGUUUCUGAUACUCAAUACCGGGGCUCUUUCUAUUCGAUUCCGAUACCAACAGAAGUGACUAAUUACGCUUGAAAAAUCACGAUUUCACAAUAUACUACUCAUGUGGGGAAGCUGAAUUAGCUGAAUUUCGAAUCCAAAAAAUAUCUAUUCCCGGAUGACUACUGAUCGGCAGUACGGAAAUUACCGAUUGCUUCGAAUUCGUCCACCGCAGAUCUUUGACCCGCAAUGCUGGACUGAAGUCUGCCCCAUGGUAGCGCUGUUUUGGUAUUUAUUUGUUAUCUUUGUUUAUUCCAUAUUGGGUAUAUGUAUUUUCCAAACAUCACAGAAAGGAAAGUUAUUAGGUAUACACGAUGAUUCGUCAACACAUCGAAAGACAGAGAUAAAAGCUAUAAAUUUUUUUAGUUUAUAUAAAUGACCUUAGGUCAUCUAUAUCAUCUGGUCAAAUGGUUCAGUAAGCAGACGAUACUACCCUCUGUUUCCAGGGAAAAUGCAAAGAGUCUUUGGAAGUUGAUUGCUUUGUAAAUUCAAAUUCAUGUCUUCAAUUUUUAUCAAAUGUGAAUCUACAAACAAAUGAUUCCAAAUCAAACUUCAUCUGUUUUUCAGGGCGCAGAGCGCUCCAUGAACCCGGUCCAUCAGUUGUACUGAAUGAUAUGGAAUUCACAUUGAUAAAGGUUUGUCCUGGGAAAAAACAUGUGGACGUUGUCUGUGCUAGAAUGUCCUCAGGCAUCUAUGCUUUGAGGAAAUUGGCAGAAUUUUGUGGAAUACACCUACUGAAAAUGGCCUAUUAUGGCCUAGUGUACCCACAUACGUCAUACGGCAUAACAUUGUGGGGAGGGUGUGCGAAUGUCUAUUUCCAGAGGUGUUUCGUCCUUCAGAAAAAAGCAGUAUGAAUCAUGGCAAAAAUAGGAAUUAGAGAAUCCUGUAGGGAUCAUUUUAGAGAACUUGAUUUGUUAACCUUCUCAUCCCUCUACAUGUACAAGACCGUCUUGUACUGUUGUUAUAAAUGUGAGGUAACGCGGGGCAGGGACGUUCAUGAGUACAACACCAGAGGGCGGGAUGCGUUUAGAUCUGCGCAGCACAGGCUCCAGGCUUAAGAAUCUCUACCAUCUGAGGUUGGAGCUAAACUGUUCAACAAGCUGCCCUUGACUUGCGUGUAAAAAAUAGGAAACCACUGUUUAAGAGGAAGCUAAGGCGCCUACUGGUGCAAGGAGCCUACUACUCUGUUGGUGAGUUUGCGGAUCAUGAGGCUUAAUCAAUUCUGUUGGGUUGAGGGUGCCGUUAUGUGUAGCACUUUAGCUUUUUACCUUGCAAACUUUUUGCAUUCUUUGUUCACAAUUAUAAGCAAUUUUAUAUUUUUAAGGGUAAUUGUUUGUUAUUUGUAUUGUUUUGUUAUUUUAAUUUAUAUUCUAGUAUGUUUUAAUCGAUAUGACACUCGCCAUACAAUACUGUAAUUGUCUACGGCAAUAAAGCUAUUAUUAUUAUUAUUACUAAGGAGCUUAAAAUAAGUGAUAGCGAUAAAUCGUCACCGAAUUUCUCACAUGUCACUAGCAACGAAAUACUAGAGCACCACAGCUUUGUAGCAUCUCUUGCAAAUACUGCUGGUGACAAUAAACACCGUUAAACUCGGCGUAAGAGUUAAAUACAGUUUUACAGUUGUUUAUUUGGCUUGAAAAUAGACUAGAGAAUCGGAAAUUUUCGAGCAGGAGAACCAGGAAUAAACCGCGAACUUGAAGAGGUUUUGAUUGGCCACCGUGAGACUAUUUUGUCUAUGUAGAAUGAUAAUAUGAUCAGUUUUAAAAUAUUUGUAGAAAUUAAAUUACAGCUUAUUUUUGUAAUUCUUAGACUACAUGUUAUUAUCUUAAUUAUUACUAAUACGGUUUGUACAAAUCAUUGCACUUCAUGAAUGGUUUCAUUAAUUUUAUCUAUCGCCACAAACACCUGACAACUAUUAGCAGUUUUAUGCUUAAUUCAUGGUGAGUGGAAAUACAAUUUUAAUGUUCUCAAUUUAAAAAUUAUACACAUUUGAUAUGUAACUAUGAUUAAAAUAUGUAUCCUACUCAAAUAAAUAGGCUUAAUUAAAUAUUGAUUGAAUAAUUCAUUUUUAUAUUUUGAAAUGUCAAGUUUCAGUCCAUUUGUAAAAUGAAGAUUGGACCACUGGCCAUUGAAGAGAACAGAUUUUGUCACGAAUUUAAAAUACACAAACAUUUUAACCCAUUGAACUUAACUUUAGACUAGACUAUUUUGUCUAUGUAGAAUGAUAAUAUGAUCAGUUUUAAAAUAGUUCCAGAAAUUCAAUCAUUUCAAAAGUUUUGACUAUGGCAAUGGUAUUUCAGGAACCAUUACAGUAGUUUCAUCUUAAUUGAGGUAUAUGAAGCCAAUAGCUUGGUUAAAUUAGAAAUUAAAUGCUUUUAUGAUAAACGUCACCUGAGAUAUUGUUAAUAAGUUGUGUAAAGAACAUAAUUUUAUGUUCAAGAUAUCAGAAUUGUAUUGGUACCAAUUGAUUCAGGACAUUCUACACAUAUAUUUUUAAAUAUAUUAUGUCUCAAGAUUCAAUGUAAAGAGCAUAUUAGUAGUUUUUAAAAUGUAGUUUUAAAUCACAACAAUCUAACCAUGUAUCAGAAAUAUGUUUUCCACAUAUCCAGUAAUGCAGAAAGUAAGAAGAUUUCCUCAAAUAAUUUUCAAUUGAUUUGUGAAUCUGUUUUGUUUUUAUUCAAAUUCAAUGUUUUCGUAAUCUCCUAUAAAGGGACAUGUCUUAAAUGACCAUCAAUGUAAAGGUUCAAUAAUUAAAGGAAUAUAUAUUUUUAUGAUAAA
Molecule: long non-coding RNA, 4468 nt
Filed under: Homalodisca vitripennis (glassy-winged sharpshooter)
Lineage: Eukaryota; Metazoa; Arthropoda; Insecta; Hemiptera; Cicadellidae
Description: uncharacterized LOC124360590
Source: RNAcentral